RNAcentral lists this transfer RNA (73 nucleotides) under Kouleothrix aurantiaca. It matches the Rfam family "tRNA". From Rfam's summary of the family: Transfer RNA (tRNA) molecules are approximately 80 nucleotides in length. Their secondary structure includes four short double-helical elements and three loops (D, anti-codon, and T loops). Lineage: Bacteria; Bacillati; Chloroflexota; Chloroflexia; Chloroflexales; Roseiflexaceae. The record is from Rfam by way of RNAcentral.
GCCGUCGUAGCGUAAUUGGAAGCGCGCGUGUCUUCUAAACACGAAGGUGGGGGUUCGAGGCCCUCCGACGGUG